UAGCUGGUCUGAGAGGACGACCAGCCACACUGGAACUGAGACACGGUCCAGACUCCUACGGGAGGCAGCAGUGGGGAAUUUUGGACAAUGGGGGAAACCCUGAUCCAGCCAUGCCGCGUGCGGGAAGAAGGCUUUCGGGUUGUAAACCGCUUUUGUCAGGGACGAAAAGUCGUAUUUAAAUAAAGUACGAUGCUGACGGUACCUGAAGAAUAAGCACCGGCUAACUACGUGCCAGCAGCCGCGGUAAUACGUAGGGUGCAAGCGUUAAUCGGAAUUACUGGGCGUAAAGCGUGCGCAGGCGGUUGGAUAAGAUAGAUGUGAAAUCCCCGGGCUUAACCUGGGAACCGCAUUUGUGACUGUCUGACUGGAGUAUGUCAGAGGGGGGUGGAAUUCCACGUGUAGCAGUGAAAUGCGUAGAUAUGUGGAAGAACACCGAUGGCGAAGGCAGCCCCCUGGGGCAAAACUGACGCUCAUGCACGAAAGCGUGGGGAGCAAACAGGAUUAGAUACCCUGGUAGUCCACGCCCUAAACGAUGUCUACUGGUUGUUGGGGAGUUAAAUCCUCAGUAACGAAGCCAACGCGUGAAGUAGACCGCCUGGGGAGUACGGUCGCAAGAUUAAAACUCAAAGGAAUUGACGGGGACCCGCACAAGCGGUGGAUGAUGUGGAUUAAUUCGAUGCAACGCGAAAAACCUUACCUAGCCUUGACAUGUCGAGAAGGAGACGUAAAUGUUUCCGUGCCCGAAAGGGAACUCGAACACAGGUGCUGCAUGGCUGUCGUCAGCUCGUGUCGUGAGAUGUUGGGUUAAGUCCCGCAACGAGCGCAACCCUUGUCAUCAGUUGCUACCCGAAAGGGAGCACUCUGAUGAGACUGCCGGUGACAAACCGGAGGAAGGUGGGGAUGACGUCAAGUCCUCAUGGCCCUUAUGGCUAGGGCCUCACACGUCAUACAAUGGUCGGAACAGAGGGCAGCGAAGCCGCGAGGCG
This 986-nucleotide ribosomal RNA is filed under the name gut metagenome. RNAcentral describes it as "bacterial SSU rRNA". It matches the Rfam family "Bacterial small subunit ribosomal RNA", at positions 284 to 1264 of the family's 1533-position model. The record is from RNAcentral.